AUAAAUUGAAGGAUUUCGGCAACAGAUUUCAAAGUCUACAUCUACACGCAUCUACUAUACCUCUACUUAGCCUCAGUUGCGUACUCAGAACAUGAAUUUGAGGGAUUUCCUUUCAAGCUGCCCCGUGAAUGGAUUCGUUUGCAUGGUUUGGAUUUACCAUCUCGAUGUGAACUUCGAAUGCCGUUGGGCACAAGGUAUUCCGUCGGGUUCACAGUGAUCGAUCGCGAAUGCUACUUCGAUCGAGAUUGAUGUCUAUUCUUGCGCUACAAUCGAAUUCAGUUGACUGGCACUUUUCGUUUUGAUGAGAGUGGUUGUAUGCCCAAAUGAGAUGUAUACGAGCUUGAGUGUGUUCCCCAAGAUCCAUACCGGACACCCGACUCCCAAAGUGACGACACUGAGGAAGAUGAGACAUAUGACGUCGGAUGGCCCGUGUUCCCUCUUCCAUCGUUCAUCAUAUUGCUGCUUGGCUCAGACCCCGAACAAUUGGUUUUGUAGGAACUACCGCAUAUAUGGUGGAAAACCAACAUUGCAGACGAGAAUUCCAUACAACCUGUAACUCUCAACACGACACGCGGCUCACAUACUAUCUAUAUGAUGAUAUCGGACCAAGUAGUGAAGAUUUGCGUGGUUAGAAGAGGGCCGUUCGGGCCAAUCAUCUUCUUUUGGGAGAUGUUUGCGAAUUCGAGUUGCUUAGUACUCCAACCACCACCUUCAGGGUCAUAUUCCACAACUAGGAAGUAUUUGUAUCUGUAUUGCAUAAUACGGUUUUUUCAGUUUGAUGACUUUGCGAUUAUAUGUCAACUUUCUAAUUAUGCCAUGUUGUAGUGCUAAGUAGAAAAAAUGUACUCCCUCCGUUCUAUAGUAGUAGCGGGAUUUCUUUUAGGCACGGAGAUUAAGA
Long non-coding RNA from Salvia splendens (bonfire salvia), 898 nucleotides. RefSeq lists it as uncharacterized. The record is from RefSeq and is a predicted model, not a curated record. Lineage: Eukaryota; Viridiplantae; Streptophyta; Magnoliopsida; Lamiales; Lamiaceae. The transcript has 3 exons.